CCUACGGGGGGCAGCAGUCGAGAAUCAUUCACAAUGGGGGAAACCCUGAUGGUGCGACGCCGCGUGGGGGAAUGAAGGUCUUCGGAUUGUAAACCCCUGUCAUGUGGGAGCAAAUUAAAAAGAUAGUACCACAAGAGGAAGAGACGGCUAACUCUGUGCCAGCAGCCGCGGUAAUACAGAGGUCUCAAGCGUUGUUCGGAAUCACUGGGCGUAAAGCGUGCGUAGGCUGUUUCGUAAGUCGUGUGUGAAAGGCGCGGGCUCAACCCGCGGACGGCACAUGAUACUGCGAGACUAGAGUGAUGGAGGGGGAACCGGAAUUCUCGGUGUAGCAGUGAAAUGCGUAGAUAUCGAGAGGAACACUCGUGGCGAAGGCGGGUUCCUGGACAUUAACUGACGCUGAGGCACGAAGGCCAGGGGAGCGAAAGGGAUUAGAUACCCCUGUAGUC
Molecule: ribosomal RNA, 446 nt
Filed under: uncultured bacterium
Lineage: Bacteria
Description: partial 16S ribosomal RNA
Rfam family: Bacterial small subunit ribosomal RNA
Source: RNAcentral